Gavialis gangeticus (Gharial) is the source of this 3502-nucleotide long non-coding RNA. RefSeq lists it as uncharacterized. The transcript is spliced from 3 exons. Lineage: Eukaryota; Metazoa; Chordata; Crocodylia; Gavialidae. The record is from RefSeq and is a predicted model, not a curated record.
CUGAAACCAAACUUCUUGCUUAAGAGCAUUUGGUGGUGAUGGCUGCUUCAAGGAGCCUGUUCCAGACACUUGAGAGCAAGCAGGGCGCUGUCUGUCUUGGCAUGUGGACCACAUGACACAGUGGCCGGAAGGCAAGUUCCAGCGCCCCAAUAAUCAGCCACUGAGAUUCUUCUUGUUUCUGCUCAUUGGCACUUUUUCAUGCUGCUGCAAGUGAGGAAAAAGCUCAAACUAGUUGCAGCUGCACAUCUUCCUGCUAGAUUGCAGCAACUGUGUUUGGAGAUUAAAUAACUUGGGUCCCACAAAAAGCUCUUGUGUGGGUUAAACCAGAAUAAGUCAUCUCGGCCAGUGAGCUUAAAGUGAAGGUAGCAUUUGGUUAAGGGUGGGGGGAAAGGUUAUAGUAACUAACAGGUCCUUGUCCUCAUGUUCAGGAAGAAAGGUAUGAGGAUUGUGCUGAUCUAGACCACAUGUGCUGUUCAGUCCCGGAAAGGUACUUUGUCUUCAUAGACCAGCAGUGCUCAAGGUUUCCAUCCUGCAGGCCCGAUGAGUGGCAUGGGGCUCAUCUGCAGGCCGGAUUGGGCCCUACACUGCCUCAACCCAGCCCCAUGCAUUAGGUGCGGGUUCUGCGUUGGGGGUAGGCCCUGUGCCACCCUGUCUGCUCAAUCAAGUGUGCAGGGCCACAGCUGACUUGGGGGGAGGGGGGACCUGUAGAUCCAUGGGGAAGCCCCCCUCCCAGGCUGAAUAACCCAGGGGCUGGGGGUUUAGCACUUAUCAUGGACAAAGAAGGUUCUCACAAGAUUAAGUGAUAGAUAAAUUCCUGUUUUAUGGUAUAUAUGUUAAAGCUGGACUUGUGUACAAAGUUUGCUGCUUUCCAGGCUUUUUCACUGCCGGGUCAUCAGUCUUUAAAAAGUAACCAGAACAUAUUGUUUCUCAUCUCUGUCCACGGUAGUUGAACAUUUAGCUUUAGCAUUCUUGGCAAAAGGGCUUUACAUGUUCAGGACAAUGAACUUGGUUCCAGUUUCGGGACUCUUUGUCAUCCAUCCCCCCCGGUCUCUGUUCUCGGCUAAAAUCAGCCUCUUACAGAUGGUAAAGUGACUAAGACUAACCUUAGCUGCUGAGAGUGCUCUCCCUAAGGAAACUGAAUGUCAGUUCUUGCCUUUGGAAUCACUGGGGAGAGGUAUUUAGCUGUAAUAGUCUGAAGUCAGGCAGACAGCAGGGUAGAUGCGUCUAAAAGACUAACUAAAUGAUGAACCUUGUGUCCCCAGGGCUGAAACAAAGCUAUGGAUAUGGGCAGGGUGUUUUUUUGCCUUUUUUUUUUUUUUUCUUCUUUUUUAUAUAUGUGAAGCUCAAGGAAACCUAGGUGAAACUGAGUCGUUUGCUUCCUUAUUUAAUUAAUCUGCUGAGAGCUAAGGUAAUCUCUUAAGAGUUUGGCAUUUAGUAUAGCCUUGGCUCAAGGGGUUUGUACAGUCCCUUUCGGCUUCUGCUAUGAGGGAGAAAAGUUGCAUCUGGUAGAAACAGGAUUUCAGUGCUAAGCCACCAUGUCAGCUAAUGCUGCUUCCUGUGUCAUUAAUCUUGUGCUCAGGUAACCUAAUUCGGGGGUGGAGGGGGAUCAAGUCUAGGGACUUGAAACAGUCUCAAACCAUAGGGACAAAAAGAACAGGCAACAGCAGCUGGGGAAGAAAGUGUCAGAACUCUUCAAAGGCAGAUUUUAAACUAGGAUCAGGUGACUAGGACAGUAGGAGGAAGCCCUUAAGGCUAUAAUAAUAAGACUGAGUAAUAGCAGCAUCUGCAGUACUUACAAGGUCUGUUAUUAGUGAAAACACAAGCUGUUUCUGUAAUGCUUCAGCAGCCUAGAGGAUCUUGCUUCCCCCUUCCAUCUUAAGUUUCAGAAUGACAGGCUUGGUUGGCCUUUUACAAGCACAAUGGAGGAAAAGGUAUAAAAUAUCCUUUUCAAGCAGCACUUCAUAAAGUGACUUUGAGCUCCUAGUGGUCCCUCUUCAAAUCUGGCCUUGGGCUAGCUCCACAAAGAGCUUUGGUGUGGAGGGACAGACCAUGUGUGUGAUCUUACCAUUCAGCUGUACUGUUAUGUAGCACCAGGUUGUAUAAGCAUAUUCCAAGAGCAAGUCCUGAACAUGAGAGCAGAGGAGGAUUGCAUAGCUUGCGAGUCCCACCAGGGCUUGGGGCUUGGUACAACUUCCAUUCAUGUCCAGCGGAAGGAGGUUUACUGGUGAACUUGGGGAGCUUCAGGGCUCUAGAUCUAGAACACAAACCCAAGUCCCAGAAUCCUUCCUGUUUCUGGCCCAAUGCACCCUGCCACCCUAUUUGCCCUCUUACAUUUGCUCUGUUGGCUCUUGGGUUUUAUUUUCUGGGUGCAUUUCUGAGGCCUGCAGAGACGGCUUUGUUCAAAUUGCUGUGCAUCCUGCCCAGCUCUCUCUAUUAGGGUCCUUUUAUACCAAUUCUCUUGUGGCAGAGCAGAGGGAGUAGUGAGGCUGCUGUUAAUUGCAGGGUGUAACUAAAGAACAAGUAGGUUACUAUCAUGACUGACACACCAGCACAUCCUCCUGACUUUGUAAACAGGAAGCUGAUGCUUCCCGAGAAGGGAUGAACAGCAAAUGGUGUGAUGAAGGCAAAAAGCAACUUGCACAGGACACAAAUACUAACAUGAAGAUGACAACUGCUCUUCCAAACCCCAAGCUCCAUCCACACCCAAAACACUGGAGUUCAGCUGCUGCUCUCUGUUCAGAACAGCUGUUGCAGAACACUGUGCCCCCAAUAUGGGCUUGUUCAUCAUCAUACAGUAAACUAGUGGACACCCAACUGCAUGCUACAGUGAGUCUUACAUCAGGCACGUUACACCACACUCUACUCCCAGGGUUACCUGUACCAGAAUCCUGGACAAUCCUAACGCUGCCAGCGCACUGGGACAUAUUCCACCCACCAAAAGCUCAGCUUCCCUCAAGACGCCCAAUAUGGUCCACCCUUUCAAAACCCAACUUUUCCUUAGUUAGUGGCAGGAGGAAUGGUCAGCACAAGCACCGAUCAAUCACCACAUUAUCUCUGACCCUACAGACAAUCAACCAAGGUUUAACUGCCCAUUAUUGGGCAUUUCUCAACUGGUUUCAAACUUGACAUGGUCACUGUGCCUCAAACCUAUACCAAUGAGGCCUUCACAGUGUCAACAAAUGCUUGUGGACAAGUACAAACCAUGCCCUACAUGGUUGACUUGUGUCCAUUUACAGUGCUACCUGGUGGCCUUCAAGCUCUUCACACUGGUGAUGACACUGCCUUAAGAUGGCUGAAACAUGCCAAAUCCGCAUAUGCUAAAUAAGUAAGUUUAAGGAACCCAAAGCUGCAAGUGCCACAGCCUGUGGAAGUAAACCUUCUUUGAUUCCUACUAUAGUCAUACAUGGCCAACUACCCUUUGGCUACAGGUACACUGUGGAAUACUGGGAACCCUCUGAGACUGAAAAAAAGGGAACAAUUAGCACACCUGGUAAGCUGAACA